Molecule: ribosomal RNA, 933 nt
Filed under: Kitasatospora purpeofusca
Lineage: Bacteria; Bacillati; Actinomycetota; Actinomycetes; Kitasatosporales; Streptomycetaceae
Description: bacterial SSU rRNA
Source: RNAcentral
GAUGCAGCGACGCCGCGUGAGGGAUGACGGCCUUCGGGUUGUAAACCUCUUUCAGCAGGGAAGAAGCGCAAGUGACGGUACCUGCAGAAGAAGCACCGGCUAACUACGUGCCAGCAGCCGCGGUAAUACGUAGGGUGCGAGCGUUGUCCGGAAUUAUUGGGCGUAAAGAGCUCGUAGGCGGCCUGUCGCGUCGGAUGUGAAAGCCCGGGGCUUAACCCCGGGUCUGCAUUCGAUACGGGCAGGCUAGAGUGUGGUAGGGGAGAUCGGAAUUCCUGGUGUAGCGGUGAAAUGCGCAGAUAUCAGGAGGAACACCGGUGGCGAAGGCGGAUCUCUGGGCCAUUACUGACGCUGAGGAGCGAAAGCGUGGGGAGCGAACAGGAUUAGAUACCCUGGUAGUCCACGCCGUAAACGUUGGGAACUAGGUGUUGGCGACAUUCCACGUCGUCGGUGCCGCAGCUAACGCAUUAAGUUCCCCGCCUGGGGAGUACGGCCGCAAGGCUAAAACUCAAAGGAAUUGACGGGGGCCCGCACAAGCAGCGGASCAUGUGGCUUAAUUCGACGCAACGCGAAGAACCUUACCAAGGCUUGACAUAUACCGGAAACGGCUAGAGAUAGUCGCCCCCUUGUGGUCGGUAUACAGGUGGUGCAUGGUUGUCGUCAGCUCGUGUCGUGAGAUGUUGGGUUAAGUCCCGCAACGAGCGCAACCCUUGUUCUGUGUUGCCAGCAUGCCUUUCGGGGUGAUGGGGACUCACAGGAGACUGCCGGGGUCAACUCGGAGGAAGGUGGGGACGACGUCAAAUCAUCAUGCCCCUUAUGUCUUGGGCUGCACACGUGCUACAAUGGUCGGUACAAAGGGCUGCGAUGCCGCGAGGCGGAGCGAAUCCCAAAAAGCCGGCCUCAGUUCGGAUUGGGGUCUGCAACUCGACCCCAUGA